CCUACGGGGUGCUGCAGUGGGGAAUAUUGCACAAUGGGCGAAAGCCUGAUGCAGCAACGCCGCGUGAGCGAUGAAGGCCUUCGGGUCGUAAAGCUCUGUCCUCAAGGCAGAUACUGCCGGUACUUGUGGAGGAAGCCCCGGCGAACUACGUGCCAGCAGCCGCGGUAAUACGUAGGGGGCUAGCGUUAUCCGGAAUUACGGGGCGUAAAGGGUGCGUAGGUGGUUUGUUAAGUCAGAGGUGAAAGGCUACGGCUCAACCGUAGUAAGCUUUUGAAACUGGGGAACUUGAGUGCAGGAGAGGAAGGUGGAAUUCCUGGUGUAGCGGUGAAAGGCGUAGAUAUUAGGAGGAACACCAGUUGCGAAGGCGGCUCUCUGGACUGUAACUGACACUGAGGCACGAAAGCGUGGGGAGCAAACAGGAUUAGAUACCCCAGUAGUC
Molecule: ribosomal RNA, 439 nt
Filed under: uncultured bacterium
Lineage: Bacteria
Description: partial 16S ribosomal RNA
Rfam family: Bacterial small subunit ribosomal RNA
Source: RNAcentral